Molecule: ribosomal RNA, 243 nt
Filed under: uncultured bacterium
Lineage: Bacteria
Description: partial 16S ribosomal RNA
Rfam family: Bacterial small subunit ribosomal RNA
Source: RNAcentral
GAGUGGCAAACGGGUGAGUAAUACAUCGGAACGUGCCCAGUCGUGGGGGAUAACGUAGCGAAAGUUACGCUAAUACCGCAUACGACCUACGGGUGAAAGCGGGGGACCGAAAGGCCUCGCGCUAUUGGAGCGGCCGAUGGCUGAUUAGGUAGUUGGUGGGGUAAAGGCCUACCAAGCCGACGAUCAGUAGCUGGUCUGAGAGGACGAUCAGCCACACUGGAACUGAGACACGGUCCAGACUCC